Molecule: long non-coding RNA, 1043 nt
Organism: Gadus morhua (Atlantic cod)
Lineage: Eukaryota; Metazoa; Chordata; Actinopteri; Gadiformes; Gadidae
Exons: 2
Source: RefSeq, a predicted model, not a curated record
ACAGGAUGAUCGUGGCAAUUAAGGUGUGAAAGCUGACGUGGCCCAGGCAGAACAAACGCCCAACUUACAGCGGAAGAUUAACACGGCCUCCUCCCCAACUGGCAGACCGGUGUGCGUACUGGUGCUGUUUAUAACCUGAUGGAGUGACAGCGGGGACGGCCAAUCACACAAGGAAUGCAGAGCCAAUGGAGGAGCUUGUGGGCAGGUCUAAACGAAAGCAAACUGGCUUCAGCUCGAGCGGCCGUUUCCGCUUGGUCCUAGUGCCUGACGAGUCUCUGUUUACCAUAGCGUAACAUGGUUUCCGGACGGUGAAAACUGCAGGGGACCAGAACGGCCUUUUGAAAAAGCGCAGGGGACAUGUCCCCUGUGUCCCCCCCCCCCCAAAUUACGUCUGUGGGUGUGACGGUGGCUUCCGUUCCUGCUGGCACUUUCUACAAAGGAUCACGCCUGUCUUCCUCACGUAUUUCUCUUUUUUUUUUCCUGUACAGUUGUGUUGUGUAAGGAGUUGAUGGUGGCAUCAACUCCUUACACAACGGAGUUGGGGGGUUGAAGACCAUCACCUGCAAGGGUCCAGGCACGGUAGGAAGCUGUGCAGUGAAGGGGAGAGAGACGGGUGGAGCUGGUGCUAUCACACCAAGUGGUGGUGCUUGGUGGAUGGCCUGAGGUUGCGGUCUCCCCUUGAGCUUCGCCUGCCCAGCAGUGUUUGGUGGCAGAAUGAACAGCUGGAUGGUGGUCUCACUCAGCACCUUCGCGUUGGUGACGACGCACUCUCUGAUGUGCUUGUUAGCACGCGUCACCACCGUGAAGCGCGACACCCUCCUGUCAUCACAGCGCACAGCGCUUGGGUAGAGCGCACACAGCCUGAUGAAGAUGGCCUCCACCACCCUGUUGCAGUCUGGCCACUGCAGGACAGUGAGCCCCAACGAAACACCUGCAAAUUACAACAGAAUCCAUAUCUUUAAUAUAAGAUUGUUUUCAAUGCGUGAUCCUUACUCACUGUGCUAUUUUUGUUGUUAAAUACAUUUCUUAAUAUCUGUGCAUAA